This is a small nuclear RNA of Peromyscus californicus insignis, 107 nucleotides long. Lineage: Eukaryota; Metazoa; Chordata; Mammalia; Rodentia; Cricetidae. The record is from RefSeq and is a predicted model, not a curated record.
GUGCUCGCUUUGGCAGCACAUAUACUAAAAUUGGAAUGAUACAGAGAAAAUUAACAUGGUCCCUGUGCAAGGAUGAUAUACAAAUUUGUGAAGCGUUCCAUAUUUUU